This 459-nucleotide ribosomal RNA is filed under the name uncultured bacterium. RNAcentral describes it as "partial 16S ribosomal RNA". It matches the Rfam family "Bacterial small subunit ribosomal RNA", at positions 28 to 523 of the family's 1533-position model. The record is from RNAcentral.
GAUGAACGCUGGCGGCGUGCCUAAUACAUGCAAGUCGAGCGGUAAGGCCUCUUCGGAGGUACACGAGCGGCGGACGGCUGAGUAACGCGUAGGAACGUACCCCAAAGUGAGGGAUAAGCACCAGAAAUGGUGUCUAAUACCGCAUGUGGCCCCCGGGAUAAAGCUUCGGCGCUUUGGGAACGGCCUGCGUAAGAUUAGCUAGUUGGUGAGGUAAUGGCUCACCAAGGCGACGAUCUUUAGCUGGUCUGAGAGGAUGAUCAGCCAGACUGGGACUGAGACACGGCCCAGACUCCUACGGGAGGCAGCAGUAGGGAAUUUUCCACAAUGGGCGAAAGCCUGAUGGAGCAACGCCGCGCGCAGGAUGAAUGCCUUCGGGUUGUAAACUGCUUUUAUAUGCGACGAAUAUGACGGUAGCAUGUGAAUAAGGAUCGGCUAACUCCGUGCCAGCCGCCGCGGUAA